UGGGGAAUAUUGCACAAUGGGCGCAAGCCUGAUGCAGCAACGCCGCGUGAACGAUGAAGGUCUUCGGAUCGUAAAGUUCUUUUGCAGGGGAAGAUAAUGCCGGUAUCAUAGGAGGAAGCCCCGGCUAAAUACGUGCCAGCAGCCGCGUUAAUACGUAUGGGGCGAGCGUUGUCCGGAACUAUUGGGCGUAAAGGGUACGUAGGCGGUCUAUUAAGUCAGGUGUGAAAGCGUGAGGCUUAACCUCAUUAAGCACUUGAAACUGAUAGACUUGAGUGAAGGAGAGGAAAGUGGAAAUCCUGGUGUAGCGGUGAAAUGCGUAGAUAUUAGGAGGAAUACCGGUGGCGAAGGCGACUUUCUGGACUUGUACUGACGCUAAGGUACGAAAGCGUGGGGAGCAAACAGG
Molecule: ribosomal RNA, 403 nt
Filed under: Verrucomicrobiota bacterium
Lineage: Bacteria; Pseudomonadati; Verrucomicrobiota
Description: Verrucomicrobia bacterium partial 16S ribosomal RNA
Rfam family: Bacterial small subunit ribosomal RNA
Source: RNAcentral